GACGUAGGUUGCAAGCGUUAUCCGGAAUUAUUGGGCGUAAAGAGUUCGUAGGCGGUUUGUUAAGUUGGAUGUUAAAUCUUUGAGCUUAACUCAAAGCAUGUGUCCAAAACUGACAGACUAGAGACAGGUAGAGGUAGAUGGAAUUCUGCAUGUAGGGGUAAUAUCCGUAGGUAUGCAGAGGAACACCAAAAGCGAAAGCAGUCUACUGGACCUGUUCUGACGCUCAAGAACGAAAGCGUGGGUAGCAAACGGG
This 253-nucleotide ribosomal RNA is filed under the name uncultured bacterium. Its description in RNAcentral is "partial 16S ribosomal RNA". It matches the Rfam family "Bacterial small subunit ribosomal RNA", at positions 524 to 776 of the family's 1533-position model. The record is from RNAcentral.